RNAcentral lists this ribosomal RNA (463 nucleotides) under uncultured bacterium. RNAcentral describes it as "partial 16S ribosomal RNA". It matches the Rfam family "Bacterial small subunit ribosomal RNA", at positions 28 to 507 of the family's 1533-position model. The record is from RNAcentral.
GAUGAACGCUGGCGGCGUGCUUAACACAUGCAAGUCGAACGGAAAGGCCCAAGCUUGCUUGGGUACUCGAGUGGCGAACGGGUGAGUAACACGUGGGUGAUCUGUCCUGCACUUCGGGAUAAGCUUGGGCAACUGGGUCUAAUACCGGAUAGGACUACUUCGUUGUUGUUGUGGCGGAAAGUUUUUUCGGGGUGGGAUGAGUUCCCGGCCUACCAGCCUGCUGGUGGGGUAUUGGCUUACCAAGACGUCGACGGGUAUCCGGCUUGAGAGAGUGUACGGCCACAUUGUGACUGUGAUACAGCCCAGACUCCUACGCGGGGCAGAGGAGGGGAGUAUUUCACAAUAGGCGGAAGCCUGAUGCAGCGACACGGCGUGGGAGAUGACGAGCUUCGAGUUGUGAACUCCUUUCGCCAAAGGCAAAUUUAUGACAGUAUUUGGAGAAGAAGCUCCGGCUAACUACGUG